RNAcentral lists this ribosomal RNA (261 nucleotides) under uncultured bacterium. Its description in RNAcentral is "partial 16S ribosomal RNA". It matches the Rfam family "Bacterial small subunit ribosomal RNA", at positions 1274 to 1532 of the family's 1533-position model. The record is from RNAcentral.
CUCAAAAAGCCGUCUCAGUUCGGAUUGGGCUCUGCAACUCGAGCCCAUGAAGUUGGAAUCGCUAGUAAUCGUGGAUCAGCAUGCCACGGUGAAUACGUUCCCGGGCCUUGUACACACCGCCCGUCACACCAUGGGAGUUGGUUUUACCUGAAGGUAGUGCGCUAACCCGCAAGGGAGGCAGCUAACCACGGUAGGGUCAGCGACUGGGGUGAAGUCGUAACAAGGUAGCCGUAGGGGAACCUGCGGCUGAAUCACCUCCUU